UUGAGUUAUGAGUCAAUUCCCGAUAGGAUUCACGAUUGCUGUGAAGCUGCCUUGUAACCGACUGGCGCGAGAUUAUCGGUCAACUCGUCGUCAACACUAUCUAGGGGGAAUAUCCAUUG
This 119-nucleotide small RNA is filed under the name Levilactobacillus paucivorans. Its description in RNAcentral is "Lactobacillus paucivorans SAM-III sequence". It matches the Rfam family "SAM-III riboswitch aptamer (SMK box)". Lineage: Bacteria; Bacillati; Bacillota; Bacilli; Lactobacillales; Lactobacillaceae. The record is from RNAcentral.